CAAAGGUAGCAUAAUCAUUAGUUUUUUAAUUGGAAACUAGAAUGAAGGGUUGGACAAAGGAAAAGCUGUCUUUAAAUGCAAACAUUGAAAUUUACUUUUAAGUGAAAAGGCUUAAAUAAAUUAAAAAGACGAUAAGACCCUAUAAAGCUUUAUAUAUUACCUAAAUUUGAUUAAUUAAAUAAAUAAAAGUUAAGUUUAUUUGUUAUAUUUUGUUGGGGAGAUGUGAGUAUAAUUUUUGUAACUGCUUAAAUAAUAAAACAAUAAUAAAUGGGUUAAAGUGUAAAUGAUCCUUUUUAAAGAUUAAAAGAUUAAGUUACUUUAGGGAUAACAGCGUUAUUUCUUUUGAGAGUUCAUAUCGAAAAAGAAGUUUGCGACCUCGAUGUUGAAUUAAAAUGUCUAUAUAGUGCAGCCGCUAUAAAAGAAGGUCUGUUCGACCUUUAAAUUUUUACAUGAUUUGAGUUCA
This 463-nucleotide ribosomal RNA is filed under the name Medaeus ornatus. RNAcentral's name for it is "partial 16S ribosomal RNA". The stretch from base 324 to 463 matches the Rfam family "Bacterial large subunit ribosomal RNA", at positions 2473 to 2613 of the family's 2925-position model. Lineage: Eukaryota; Metazoa; Arthropoda; Malacostraca; Decapoda; Xanthidae. The record is from RNAcentral.